Molecule: ribosomal RNA, 925 nt
Filed under: Bacillus cereus
Lineage: Bacteria; Bacillati; Bacillota; Bacilli; Caryophanales; Bacillaceae
Description: bacterial SSU rRNA
Rfam family: Bacterial small subunit ribosomal RNA
Source: RNAcentral
UGCAGUCGAGCGAAUGGAUUGAGAGCUUGCUCUCAAGAAGUUAGCGGCGGACGGGUGAGUAACACGUGGGUAACCUGCCCAUAAGACUGGGAUAACUCCGGGAAACCGGGGCUAAUACCGGAUAACAUUUUGAACUGCAUGGUUCGAAAUUGAAAGGCGGCUUCGGCUGUCACUUAUGGAUGGACCCGCGUCGCAUUAGCUAGUUGGUGAGGUAACGGCUCACCAAGGCAACGAUGCGUAGCCGACCUGAGAGGGUGAUCGGCCACACUGGGACUGAUACACGGCCCAGACUCCUACGGGAGGCAGCAGUAGGGAAUCUUCCGCAAUGGACGAAAGUCUGACGGAGCAACGCCGCGUGAGUGAUGAAGGCUUUCGGGUCGUAAAACUCUGUUGUUAGGGAAGAACAAGUGCUAGUUGAAUAAGCUGGCACCUUGACGGUACCUAACCAGAAAGCCACGGCUAACUACGUGCCAGCAGCCGCGGUAAUACGUAGGUGGCAAGCGUUAUCCGGAAUUAUUGGGCGUAAAGCGCGCGCAGGUGGUUUCUUAAGUCUGAUGUGAAAGCCCACGGCUCAACCGUGGAGGGUCAUUGGAAACUGGGAGACUUGAGUGCAGAAGAGGAAAGUGGAAUUCCAUGUGUAGCGGUGAAAUGCGUAGAGAUAUGGAGGAACACCAGUGGCGAAGGCUACUUUCUGGUCUGUAACUGACACUGAGGCGCGAAAGCAUGGGGAGCAAACAGGAUUAGAUACCCUGGUAGUCCACGCCGUAAACGAUGAGUGCUAAGUGUUAGAGGGUUUCCGCCCUUUAGUGCUGAAGUUAACGCAUUAAGCACUCCGCCUGGGGAGUACGGCCGCAAGGCUGAAACUCAAAGGAAUUGACGGGGGCCCGCACAAGCGGUGGAGCAUGUGGUUUAAUUCGAAGCAACG